RNAcentral lists this ribosomal RNA (440 nucleotides) under uncultured bacterium. RNAcentral's name for it is "partial 16S ribosomal RNA". It matches the Rfam family "Bacterial small subunit ribosomal RNA", at positions 338 to 795 of the family's 1533-position model. The record is from RNAcentral.
CCUACGGGAGGCAGCAGUGGGGAAUAUUGCACAAUGGGGGAAACCCUGAUGCAGCGACGCCGCGUGAGUGAAGAAGUAUUUCGGUACGUAAAGCUCUAUCAGCAGGGAAGACAAUGACGGUACCUGACUAAGAAGCCCCGGCUAACUACGUCCCAGCAGCCGCGGUAAUACGGAGGGGGCAAGCGUUCUCCGGAUUGACUGGGGGUAAAGGGAGCGUGGACGGCUAUGCAAGUCUGAAGUGAAAGGCGGGGGCCCAACCCCUGGACUGCUUUGGACACUGGAUGGCUGGAGUGCAGGAGAGGUAAGUGGAAUUCCUAGUGUAGCGGUGAAAUGCGUAGAUAUUAGGAGGAACACCAGUGGCGAAGGCGGCUUACUGGAAUGUAACUGACGUUGAGGCUCGAAAGCGUGGGGAGCAAACAGGAUUAGAUACCCUAGUAGUC